This 240-nucleotide ribosomal RNA is filed under the name uncultured bacterium. RNAcentral's name for it is "partial 16S ribosomal RNA". It matches the Rfam family "Bacterial small subunit ribosomal RNA", at positions 94 to 334 of the family's 1533-position model. The record is from RNAcentral.
AGUGGCGGACGGGUGAGUAACGCGUGGGUAACCUGCCCCAUACAGGGGGAUAACAGUUAGAAAUGACUGCUAAUACCGCAUAAGACCACAGCACCGCAUGGUGCAGGGGUAAAAACUCCGGUGGUAUGAGAUGGACCCGCGUCUGAUUAGGUAGUUGGUGGGGUAACGGCCUACCAAGCCGACGAUCAGUAGCCGACCUGAGAGGGUGACCGGCCACAUUGGGACUGAGACACGGCCCAA